This 387-nucleotide non-coding RNA is filed under the name Nelumbo nucifera (sacred lotus). RNAcentral's name for it is "Bacterial small subunit ribosomal RNA". It matches the Rfam family "Bacterial small subunit ribosomal RNA", at positions 416 to 729 of the family's 1533-position model. Lineage: Eukaryota; Viridiplantae; Streptophyta; Magnoliopsida; Proteales; Nelumbonaceae. The record is from Rfam by way of RNAcentral.
CCACGGGUCGUCAACUUCUUUUCCCGGAGAAGAAUCAAUGACGGUAUCUGGGGAAUAAGCAUCGGCUAACUCUGUGCMAGCAGCMGCGGUAAUACAGAGGAUGCAAGCGUUAUCCGGAAUGAUUGGGCGUAAAGCGUCUGUAGGUGGCUUUUCAAGUCCGCCGUCAAAUCCCAGGGCUCAACCCUGGACAGGCGGUGGAAACUACUAAGCUGGAGUACGGUAGGGGCAGAGGGAAUUUCHGGUGGAGCGGUGAAAUGCGUAGAGAUCGGAAAGAACACCAACGGUGAAAACUCGGCCUACGGGUUCAAACUAUUCCUCGAGCUUGAGCUCUACCUCGGGUUCACUAAGGCUGUCGGGGGAUACAGCUCGGUUCGUAGAACCUGCAUC